This 427-nucleotide ribosomal RNA is filed under the name uncultured bacterium. Its description in RNAcentral is "bacterial SSU rRNA". It matches the Rfam family "Bacterial small subunit ribosomal RNA", at positions 355 to 775 of the family's 1533-position model. The record is from RNAcentral.
UGGGGAAUAUUGGACAAUGGGCGCAAGCCUGAUCCAGCCACGCCGCGUGAGUGAUGAAGGCCUUCGGGUCGUAAAGCUCUGUGGGGAGGGACGAACCGCCAGGGGUUAAUACCCUCUGGCAUGACGGUACCUCCUUAGCAAGCACCGGCUAACUUCGUGCCAGCAGCCGCGGUAAUACGAAGGGUGCAAACGUUGCUCGGAAUCAUUGGGCGUAAAGCGCACGUAGGCGGCUUUGCAAGUCGGACGUGAAAUCCCUCAGCUCAACUGAGGAAGUGCAUCCGAAACUGCAAGGCUUGAGUACUGAAGAGGAUCGCGGAAUUCCCGGUGUAGAGGUGAAAUUCGUAGAUAUCGGGAGGAACACCAGUGGCGAAGGCGGCGAUCUGGGCAGAUACUGACGCUGAGGUGCGAAAGCGUGGGGAGCAAACAG